UUCAUGGAGAGUUUGAUCCUGGCUCAGGACGAACGCUGGCGGCGUGCCUAAUACAUGCAAGUCGAGCGGACCGACGGGAGCUUGCUCCCUUAGGUCAGCGGCGGACGGGUGAGUAACACGUGGGUAACCUGCCUGUAAGACUGGGAUAACUCCGGGAAACCGGGGCUAAUACCGGAUGCU
RNAcentral lists this ribosomal RNA (180 nucleotides) under Bacillus paralicheniformis. RNAcentral's name for it is "partial 16S ribosomal RNA". It matches the Rfam family "Bacterial small subunit ribosomal RNA", at positions 1 to 177 of the family's 1533-position model. Lineage: Bacteria; Bacillati; Bacillota; Bacilli; Caryophanales; Bacillaceae. The record is from RNAcentral.